UGGCUCUGGCAUNGAUGAAGAACGCAGCGAAAUGCGAUAAGUAAUGUGAAUUGCAGAAUUCAGUGAAUCAUCGAAUCUUUGAACGCACAUUGCGCCCGCUAGUAUUCUGGCGGGCAUGCCUGUCCGAGCGUCAUUUCAACCCUCAAGCCCCUGGGCUUGGCGUUGGGGAUCAGUGAGCCUUUGCGCCCACUGUCCCCUAAAUAUAGUGGCGGUCUCGCUGUAGCUUCCUCUGCGUAGUAGCACACCUCGCACUGGGAAACAGCGCGGCCACGCCGUAAAACACCCAACUUCUGAACUUUUGACCUCGGAUCAGGUAGGAAUACCCGCUGA
This 330-nucleotide unclassified non-coding RNA is filed under the name uncultured fungus. Its description in RNAcentral is "partial contains 5.8S ribosomal RNA and internal transcribed spacer 2". The stretch from base 1 to 133 matches the Rfam family "5.8S ribosomal RNA", at positions 22 to 154 of the family's 154-position model. Lineage: Eukaryota; Fungi. The record is from RNAcentral.